AAGAGUUUUCGAGUGUUGCAGGCUCAUGGGUGUGCACCACAACUCUACUGUACCUUCAAUAAUGGACUAUGCUAUGAAUUUAUACAAGGAGAAGCACUGGAUCCAAAGCAUGUCUGCAACCCAGCCAUUUUCAGGCUAAUAGCUCGUCAGCUUGCUAAAAUCCAUGCUAUUCAUGCACACAAUGGCUGGAUCCCCAAAUCUAAUCUUUGGCUAAAGAUGGGAAAGUAUUUCUCUCUCAUUCCCACAGGAUUUGCAGAUGAAGACAUUAAUAAAAGGUUCCUAAGUGAUAUCCCAAGCUCUCAGAUUCUCCAGGAAGAGAUGACUUGGAUGAAGGAGAUUCUUUCCAACCUGGGCUCACCUGUUGUGCUUUGCCAUAAUGACCUAUUGUGUAAGAAUAUAAUCUACAAUGAGAAACAAGGUAGGUAUUUGACCUUAGCAGUA
This 441-nucleotide small RNA is filed under the name Pan troglodytes (chimpanzee). Its description in RNAcentral is "retained intron". Lineage: Eukaryota; Metazoa; Chordata; Mammalia; Primates; Hominidae. The record is from RNAcentral.